Small nucleolar RNA from Zingiber officinale, 106 nucleotides. The record is from RefSeq and is a predicted model, not a curated record. Lineage: Eukaryota; Viridiplantae; Streptophyta; Magnoliopsida; Zingiberales; Zingiberaceae.
AAACCAUGAUAGGGGCAUUGUCUUAACAAACUCUUGAUUCAGUCUCAUGCUUCAAAUAGUGAUUCUCCAUCUGCCUGAGCAAAGUAUGUGAUGCAACUCCUCAUGU